GACGAACGCUGGCGGCGUGCUUAACACAUGCAAGUCGAACGGAAAGGCCUUUUCGGAGGUACUCGAGUGGCGAACGGGUGAGUAACACGUGGGUGAUCUGCCCUGCACUCUGGGAUAAGCCUGGGAAACUGGGUCUAAUACCGGAUAGGACCGCACUUUAGUGUGUGUGGUGGAAAGUUUUUUCGGUGUAGGAUGAGCCCGCAGCCUAUCAGCUUGUUGGUGGGGUAAUGGCCUACCAAGGCGGCGACGGGUAGCCGGACUGAGAGGUUGGUCGGCCACAUUGGGACUGAGAUACGGCCCAGACUCCUACGGGAGGCAGCAGUGGGGAAUAUUGCACAAUGGGCGCAAGCCUGAUGCAGCGACGCCGCGUGGGGGAUGACGGCCUUCGGGUUGUAAACUCCUUUCGCCAGGGACGAAGCGUUUUGUGACGGUACCUGGAGAAGAAGCACCGGCUAACUACGU
Molecule: ribosomal RNA, 462 nt
Filed under: uncultured bacterium
Lineage: Bacteria
Description: partial 16S ribosomal RNA
Rfam family: Bacterial small subunit ribosomal RNA
Source: RNAcentral